CAAUAGCGUAUAUUAAAAUUGUUGCGGUUAAAAGCUCGUAGUCUAAAUUUAUUUGUUUGUAGGCAUUAGGGCAAUUUGUCUUCUUUGUUAUACUUACAAAUUAUCUUUAAUAGAUAAAAUUACUUUGAGGAAAUUAGAGUGUUUAAAGCAAGCAUGUGUUUUGAAUAACGUAGCAUGGAAUAAUGGUAUAGGACUCUUGUCUUAUUUCAUUGGUUUUAGGGACUUGAGUAAUGGUUAAUGGGAACAGUCGGGGACAUUCGUAUUUAACUGUCAGAGGUGGAAUUCUUGGAUUUGUUAAAGACGAACAACUGCGAAAGCAUUUGUCAAGAAUGUAUUCAUUGAUCAAGAACGAAAGUUAGGGGAUCGAAGACGAUCAGAUACCAU
Molecule: ribosomal RNA, 384 nt
Filed under: uncultured eukaryote
Lineage: Eukaryota
Description: bacterial SSU rRNA
Rfam family: Eukaryotic small subunit ribosomal RNA
Source: RNAcentral